GCGCCUAUAGCUCAACUGGCAGAGCAGGUGACUCUUAAUCACAAGGUUCCAGGUUCGAUUCCUGGUAGGCGCA
RNAcentral lists this transfer RNA (73 nucleotides) under bacterium. Its description in RNAcentral is "tRNA-Lys". It matches the Rfam family "tRNA". From Rfam's summary of the family: Transfer RNA (tRNA) molecules are approximately 80 nucleotides in length. The record is from RNAcentral. RNAcentral also lists the same sequence under 4 other names.